Molecule: long non-coding RNA, 796 nt
Filed under: Phaseolus vulgaris (common bean)
Lineage: Eukaryota; Viridiplantae; Streptophyta; Magnoliopsida; Fabales; Fabaceae
Description: long non-coding RNA (PVUL_LNC004697)
Source: RNAcentral
UGUAGUCUCCAUUUUAUGAACACAUGCUAUGUCUUCACCAAGGAUUACAACUAGAUUUCUGCUAGGGUUGCAUCCACUCUCCCGUGACCCAACUAUAUAUAAUGUGUUUAAAAUUAAUUUUUUUCUUACAAGGUCGAAUACCUCUUAGAAUGACUCAUGUACCUUCCGUUUUUUCAUCUUUGCAGCUUCUGUAUUCGGCGUCUCCGUCUGACAAGUCCUCCAAGAACAGCGGAGUGAGGUACAUGCGAAGGUAUUCCGACGCUCAAGUCAGUCUGAGUAUAAUAUGUGGAUAAACUAGGGAUCAGAAGAUUACCUCUGGCACAGGAUCCCUUAUAAUAUUUAUAGUCUUGUGUUGAACUUCAGCUGUUAUGGGCCUUCUUUUGGACCGCGCCAAAGGUCCAUUUGUGCUUUAAUCAUGGUUUAUGGUUAAACUGAUUUAUUAUGAUUAAUCACGGUUUAUCAUCUGCUUUCAUAUUCGUUUGGUCUUGUCGACUAUUCGACCUUUCGGUCUUCCAGUAGUAAAAAAUCCAUUCAUAUAAGAUAGAUAAUUAUUUUAAUUUAUUAUAUUAAGUAUGAAUAGAGCAAUAUAAAAAGAUGGAAUGUUCCAUAGAAAGUUGAAAAAGAAAAACAUGGUGUGUUUUGUUUAUAUGUUAGGGUUGAGAUAUAUUUGUGAAGAUCUUGGUGAUUUUCAUCCUAUCCAUGAGGAUUCAGUUACACUCAGAAGCCACAAGUGGUUAAUUUAACAAGUGAAAGAGUGAAAAGUUGGUUAAGUUGUGUAUAUAUAAUAUAUAGCCAC